UUUUUUUGCACAAAUUUAAUUCAAAGAUUAAAUAAUAAGGCAUAAUAAUCAGUAAAAAUGAAAUCAUAUGGAUAUGAACAGAAUCAAAAUACAUGUUUAACAAAGCAGUCCAGCGGUAACAUUCAUGAAUGCCAUGGAUCAGGACCUCAUCACACUAUAAACCACAUUCACAACAAGUUGAACGUGAAUAAGCACAAUAAAAAUAAGGAAAU
RNAcentral lists this long non-coding RNA (212 nucleotides) under Lathyrus oleraceus (garden pea). RNAcentral's name for it is "Pisum sativum (pea) long non-coding RNA (PSAT_LNC029254)". The record is from RNAcentral. Lineage: Eukaryota; Viridiplantae; Streptophyta; Magnoliopsida; Fabales; Fabaceae.